This is an RNA transcript of Cercocebus atys (sooty mangabey), 4544 nucleotides long. It is a transcript of the gene named SCY1-like protein 2 pseudogene, with no coding region annotated. The record is from RefSeq and is a predicted model, not a curated record. Lineage: Eukaryota; Metazoa; Chordata; Mammalia; Primates; Cercopithecidae. The transcript has a single exon.
GAGCUAGUCUAAAGAAUAUUUAGCUUAAUCUACUAAGCCUGGAUUGUACACUCAUUUUUAAUAUUACAUUUUGGAAGUAGGGAAUUCAUGACCUUGAAUUUUCACAGGAUUUCAUUAAUACCUAUUUGAAGAAAAUGUCUAGGGACUAGUAUCUCUUGUAAUGAAUGUCACUUUUGUUCUUCAUUUCCACUAUACCCUUGAAUACCUAAUAGUCUGUUUUUAGCGCUGCAUGUAUUUAUAGUCAACUUCUCUUUCUGAGUAUUAAAAUGACAAUCUAUAUGUAAUAUAUGUGCAGCAGGAAAAAUUCGGAUAAUCACAUGGAACUUGUAAUAAUAGAAUUUGGAUAUAUGUUCAGGUCUCUUAUUUAAGAGCUCUGUAAGGAUUGAGAGCUUAUUUAGAACCAUAUUUAAGGUUUUAAAUCUACCUCAUCUCUGUCUCAUUGUGAUGAUCAAGCCACUGCUUCUCCUUCUGGGUGAAUAGGGAUGUCUGAUAUUGCCAGCCUCCUUGUAUUUAACUUAUUAAAAUGUCAUUGUUAAGUCAAGGUCAAGUAGUAGGAAUUUACUCUCUUAAGGAUUUGUGUUCUUAACCAGUACUUUGUUGUUCUUUGCCAGAGCUAGAGCAUGUUUCAUUAUACUACCCACAAAGGAAAUACCACGUCUCUUUAAAAGUGAGAGGGCUGACAUGACAUCCUGUAUUUUCUCUAUUUUAAGCCCUAGUAUUUUAAGCAUGUUAACAGGAAUAACUCUCCUUUUUUGUAAACAGCUAAGUUUGGGAGGUGUUAAAUGAUGGGCAGUACUGGGAACAGGAAGAUAGUGGCAGAUACAUAAAGACACAAAAGCCCAGUUUUGUUCAGAGAUGGGGGGUGGGUGUUGUAGGUGUGCAAGUGAGAGAGUAAUGAUGUAAAUAGUAUUCAGUGAGUACCUAUGAUCUGCCAGAUACCCUGGGUGCCUUAAUUGCUUAUUUUAGUUACUUCUUACUACUGUUGUGAGUGAUAAAUGAUCUUUAUUUUACAAAUGAGAGAAAUUAAGGCUCUGAAAGGAUAAAUCGUGUGUCUAACUUAAUUAGUAGAGGAGUCACAUUCAGAAGCUACGUCUGAUGCCAAAACCCAGGAUCUUUCUAAUAUUAAGAAUGAAAAAUAAGACAAUAAGUAGAUUAGACACCUGGAGGAAUUAGGAGAUAUGUAGGACUAAUACUGUAUGUUGGAGACAUGAUGUGUAGGAACUUGCUUUCUAGGACAAGUUGUCAGCCUUUGUCCUGUAAAUGGCAGAUAGCAACAAGAAUGGGUACAGUGCUGGAUAGGAAGUCAAGACACACGUCUGGUGGUUCUGUAACUCGGCAAGUUACCCAUCUUUAAGUCUCAGUUUCCUUAUCUAGGAGGCAGGAUUGGAUGGUUUCUUUAAAUGGUACCUUUAAUACUCUGUAAUUAUUUAGAUACUAUAGCAACCUUAUUUUAGCAAUCUUCAUUUGAUCUCUAGGUCUAAAAACUCAGUAGUAAUACAGUAAUAAAAGUAGCUGACAAUAGGUCUUUCAGUCUUUUUCGCCCUCCCUUAGUCUCUGUCCCCAGUCCCUCCCCUCCCUACCCCUUUCUCUCAUCCAGCUCAGGCAGUGUUUGUGCUCUGUUUGUGCCCGUGGGGGUGGUGGAGGCGAUGGAGUAAGCAGGAGGCAGCUGCCAGGUGCGAAAGCAGAGCAGGAACCGCCUGUGUUUAGGGGGGCGGGGAGAAAGAGCCCCAGCUCCGCCCCUCCUGGAAGGAGAGGGAAAAGGUAACUAUGACUGCCCAAUAUUGCAGCCAUGGAGUCCAUGUGGUAAUAAAUUGAAGCAUACUGUUACAAAAGUAACAGCUGAUGUCACUAGUGCUGUAAUGAGAAAUCCUGUCACUAGAGAAUUUGAUGUUGGUCGACACAUUGCCAGUGGUGGCAGUGGGCUAGCUUGGGAGAUUUUUAAUGGCACAAAAAAGUCAACAAAGUAGUGGCUGUUUUUGUCUUUGAUAAAAAAUGAUUGACAAAUAUCAAAAAUUUGAAAAGGAUCAAAUCAUCGAUUCUCUAAAACGAGGAGUCCAACACUUAACUCGACUUCAACACCCUCGACUUCUUACCGUCCAGCAUCCUUUAGAAGAAUCCAGGGAUUCUUUGGCAUUUUGUACAGAACCAGUUUUUGCCAGUGUAGCCAGUGUUCUUGGUAACUGGGAAAAUCUACCUUUCCCUAUGUCUCCAGACAUUAAGGAUUAUAAACUUUAUGAUGUAGAAACCAAAUGUGGUUUGCUUCAGAAGGCUUGUCAUUCUUGCAUAGCAGUGUGAAAAUGGUACAUGGAAAUAUUACUCCUGAAAAUACAAUUGUGAAUAAAAGUGGAGCCUGGAAAAUAAUGGGUUUUGAUUUUUGUGUAUCAUCAACUAAUCCUUCUGAACAAGAGCCUAAAUUUUCUUGUAAAGAAUGGGACCCAAAUUUACCUUCAUUGUAUCUUCCAAAUCCUGAAUAUUUGGCUCCUGAAUACAUACUUUAUGUGAACUGUGAAACAGCCAGUGAUUUGUAUUCUUUAGGAACUGUUAUGUAUGCUGUAUUUAAUAAAAGGAAACCUAUAUUUGAAAUCAAUAAGCAAGAUAUUUACAAGAGUUUCAGUAGGCAGUUGGAUCAGUUGAGUUAUUUAGGAUCUAGUUCACUUACAAAUAUACCUGAGGAAGUUCGUGAACAUGUAAAGCUACUGUUAAAUGUAACUCCAACUCUAAGACCAGAUGUGGAUCAAAUGACAGAUUUCCUUCUUUGAUGAUGUUGGUGCAAUAACACUGCAAUGUUUUAAUACCUUAUUCCAAAGAUUAUCUUCGGAAAUCACAGUUUUUCAACAGACUGUCAAAGGUUCUACUGCCUAAGCAUGUCAUUGUGCAGAGAAUUUUGACUUGUUUGACUUCAGAAUUUGUAAACCCUGACAUGGUACCUUUUGUUUUGCCCAGUGUUCUACUGAUCAUUGAGGAAUGCACCAAAGAAGAAUAUGUCAAAUUAAUUCCACCUGAACUUGGUCCUGUGUUUAAGCAGCAGGAGCCAAUCCAGAUUUUGAUAAUUUUCCGACAAAAAAUGGAUUUGCUACUAACCAAACCCCUCCCGAUGAGAUAAAGAACAGUGUUCUACCCAUGGUUUACAGAGCACUAGAAGCUCCUUCCAUUCAGACCCAGGAGCUCUGUCUAAACAUCAUUCCAGCCUCUGCAAAUCUUAUAGACUACCCAUCCAUGAAACAUACUUUGAUACCAAGAAUUAAAAUGCCUGUCUACAAAUGUCUUCCCUUGCUGUUUGUGUAAAUUCAUUAGUGUGCUUAUGAAAGAUUUUGGAAUACUUGGAUAAGUGGUUUGUACUUGAUGAUAUCCUACCCUUCUUACAACAAAUUUCAUCCAAAGAAUCUGCAGUCUUCAUGGGUAUUUUAGGCAUUUACAAAUGUACUUUUACUCAUAAGUUGGGAAUCACCAAAGAGCAGCUGGCUGGAUAAGUAUUGCCUCAUCUUAUUCCCCUGAGUAUUGAAAACAAUCUUAAUCAGUUCAAUUAUUUCAUUUCCAUCAUAAAAGAGAUGCUUAAUAGAUUGGAGUCUGAACAUAAGACUAAGCUGAAACAACUUCAUAUAAUGCAAGAACAGCAGAAAUCUUUGGACUUGGGAAAUCAAAUUAAUGUUUCUGGGGAGACAAAAGUUACAAAUAUUUUGAAUCAGCAAAUUGACAAGGUUGUUAACCACAUUAGAGCAGACCUUCUGACUGGCAGUGAUUCCAAAAAUAAAGAGGAUGGGUUACAGAAUAAACGUAAAACAGCAUCACUUACAUUUGAAGAAAAACAAAAAUUAGCAAAAGAACAAGAGCAGGCACAGAAGUUGAAAAGCCAGCAGCCUCUUAAACCCCAAUGCAGACACCUAUUGCUACUGUUAAACAGAGUAAUGACUUGACAGGCACAUUGAUGGAUAAUAUGUCAUCUUCGACUAGCCUUUCUGUUAGUACCCCUAAACCUUCUGCUUCAAGUACUUUCACUUCUCUUCCUUUCAUGGGCAUUGGCAUGAUGUUUUCUAUACCAGUUGAUAAUACAAAGAAAAAUUUGACAAAUGGCCUAAAUGCCAAUAUGGGCUUUCAGACUUCAGGAUUCAACAUGCCUGUUACUACAAACCAGAACUUCUACAGUAGUCCAAGCACAGUUGGAGUGACCAAGAUGACUCUGGAACACCUCCCACUUUGCCAAACUUCAGUGCUUUGAAUAUUCCUCCUGCUGGUGCAAAGCCGACCCAACAAAGACCCACAGAUAUGUCUGCCCUUAAUAAUCUCUUUGGCCCUCAGAAACCCAAAGUUAGCAUGAACCAGUUAUCACAACAGAAACCAAAUCAGUGGCUCAAUCAGUUUGUACCUCCUCAAGGUUCUGCAGCUAUGGGCAUUCAGUAAUGGGAACACAGAUGAACUUGAUAGGACAAUCUGCCUUUGGUACGCAGGGUAAUCCUUUCUUCAACCCACGGAACUUUGCAUAGCCACCAACUACUAUGACCAAUAGCAGUUCAGCUAGCAGUGAUUUAAAAGAUCUUUUUGGGUAA